AACGCGAAGAACCUUACCUGGUCUUGACAUCCACGGAAUUCGGCAGAGAUGCCUUAGUGCCUUCGGGAACCGUGAGACAGGUGCUGCAUGGCUGUCGUCAGCUCGUGUUGUGAAAUGUUGGGUUAAGUCCCGCAACGAGCGCAACCCUUAUCCUUUGUUGCCAGCGGUCCGGCCGGGAACUCAAAGGAGACUGCCAGUGAUAAACUGGAGGAAGGUGGGGAUGACGUCAAGUCAUCAUGGCCCUUACGACCAGGGCUACACACGUGCUACAAUGGCGCAUACAAAGAGAAGCGACCUCGCGAGAGCAAGCGGACCUCAUAAAGUGCGUCUAGUCCGGAUUGGAGUCUGCAACUCGACUCCAUGAAGUCGGAAUCGCUAGUAAUCGUG
This 387-nucleotide ribosomal RNA is filed under the name Pantoea sp. CAR60. RNAcentral describes it as "bacterial SSU rRNA". It matches the Rfam family "Bacterial small subunit ribosomal RNA", at positions 958 to 1346 of the family's 1533-position model. Lineage: Bacteria; Pseudomonadati; Pseudomonadota; Gammaproteobacteria; Enterobacterales; Erwiniaceae. The record is from RNAcentral.